UACGGAGGGUGCAAGCGUUGUCCGGAUUUAUUGGGUUUAAAGGGUGCGUAGGCGGUCUUUUAAGUCAGUGGUGAAAUCCCGCAGCUCAACUGCGGAACUGCCAUUGAUACUGAAGGACUUGAGUACAGACGAGGUAGGCGGAAUUUAUGGUGUAGCGGUGAAAUGCAUAGAUACCAUAAAGAACACCGAUAGCGAAGGCAGCUUACUAGACUGUAACUGACGCUCAGGCACGAAAGCGUGGGGAGCGAACAGGAUUAGAUACCCCAGUA
Molecule: ribosomal RNA, 269 nt
Filed under: uncultured prokaryote
Description: partial 16S ribosomal RNA
Rfam family: Bacterial small subunit ribosomal RNA
Source: RNAcentral